Molecule: ribosomal RNA, 464 nt
Filed under: uncultured bacterium
Lineage: Bacteria
Description: partial 16S ribosomal RNA
Rfam family: Bacterial small subunit ribosomal RNA
Source: RNAcentral
GACGAACGCUGGCGGCGUGCUUAACACAUGCAAGUCGAACGGUAAGGCCCCAGCUUGCUGGGGUACACGAGUGGCGAACGGGUGAGUAACACGUGGGUGACCUGCCCCGCACUUCGGGAUAAGCCUGGGAAACUGGGUCUAAUACCGGAUGCGACCGCACCGUGAGGGUGUGGUGGAAAGUUUUUCGGUGUGGGAUGGGCCCGCGGCCUAUCAGCUUGUUGGUGGGGUAAUGGCCUACCAAGGCGGCGACGGGUAGCCGGCCUGAGAGGGUGGACGGCCACAUUGGGACUGAGACACGGCCCAGACUCCUACGGGAGGCAGCAGUGGGGAAUAUUGCACAAUGGGCGGAAGCCUGAUGCAGCGACGCCGCGUGGGGGAUGACGGCCUUCGGGUUGUAAACUCCUUUCACCAUCGACGAAGGUUUUCUGACGGUAGAUGGAGAAGAAGCACCGGCUAACUACGUG